This 81-nucleotide transfer RNA is filed under the name Hortaea werneckii. It matches the Rfam family "tRNA". Rfam says of the family: Transfer RNA (tRNA) molecules are approximately 80 nucleotides in length. Their secondary structure includes four short double-helical elements and three loops (D, anti-codon, and T loops). Lineage: Eukaryota; Fungi; Ascomycota; Dothideomycetes; Mycosphaerellales; Teratosphaeriaceae. The record is from Rfam by way of RNAcentral. RNAcentral also lists the same sequence under 1 other name.
GGAAAAGUCGCUAUAGGUAAGGCAAGAUAUUUGCUAAAUAUUGUGUUUCAACACUUGAUGGUUCAAAUCCAUUCUUUUCCG